CAAGCGGUGGAGCAUGUGGUUUAAUUCGAUGCAACGCGAAAAACCUUACCUGGUCUUGACAUCCACAGAAUCUUGCAAAGAUGCGAGAGUGCCUUCGGGAACUGUGAGACAGGUGCUGCAUGGCUGUCGUCAGCUCGUGUUGUGAAAUGUUGGGUUAAGUCCCGCAACGAGCGCAACCCUUAUCCUUUGUUGCCAUUGGUUCGGCCGGGAACUCAAAGGAGACUGCCGUUGAUAAACCGGAGGAAGGUGGGGACGACGUCAAGUCAUCAUGGCCCUUACGACCAGGGCUACACACGUGCUACAAUGGCGUAUACAAAGGGAGGCGACCUCGCGAGAGCAAGCGGACCUCAUAAAGUACGUCUAAGUCCGGAUUGGAGUCUGCAACUCGACUCCAUGAAGUCGGAAUCGCUAGUAAUCGUGAAUCAGAAUGUCACGGUGAAUACGUUCCCGGGCCUUGUACACACC
Molecule: ribosomal RNA, 465 nt
Filed under: uncultured bacterium
Lineage: Bacteria
Description: bacterial SSU rRNA
Rfam family: Bacterial small subunit ribosomal RNA
Source: RNAcentral